Molecule: non-coding RNA, 71 nt
Organism: Eragrostis curvula (weeping love grass)
Lineage: Eukaryota; Viridiplantae; Streptophyta; Magnoliopsida; Poales; Poaceae
Source: the annotation of a GenBank genome assembly
GAUCUUGACCUAGUGGUUAAGGCAUCCAAGUAGCACUUUUAAGGUCCUGGGUUCGAUUCUCGGUGGGAGCG